CCAGAGUGAAAGCAACCACAAUAUCAAAUGCUAUGCAUUUGACAACAAAAAAUCGAAAGAGAGCAUCCAUGAAAAGAAUCAAACAUUUUCUUUCAAUUAGUUGUUUUCUUAUAUAAUUAAUCACCAUAAAUACAUUAUUUUCAUUAUAGCUUAAGAGUCUGCUAUAUCUCUCGUAUUGUCUUCCCUUUAUCUAAUAAUCCCCUUUGAUCAAAGAUGUCGGUAAAUUGAAAGGGGUGUUCUUGAAGUGGCGUAGUCAAAGUUGGCAAAGUAACAAUAAAAAAAACAUAUCAAGUGUAAUUCCACAACUAGGGGUUGAGGAGGAUAAAUAUAUGCAGACCUUUUCCCUAUACUAUGUGAGAUAAGAGUGGUUUCCGACAAACCCUUAGCUCAAAAGAAGUGAAAUCACAAUAUUGAAAAGAAAAUAGCAAUAGCAGAUAGCAAGAUGCAAAUUCAAAAGAAGCAACAAAUAAAUUUGUGAUUGUAAAAUUCAAUUUUUUUCUCCACUCCUUGAAUUGUCCACGGGUGAAAUUGUUUACAAUGAAAUGAUUAAGAUAAAGUCAUGAGCGAGACUAGUCGCAUAUUUGACGCAAUUCUACAAAUGAAGUAUGGGGAGGGUGAAAUAUACACAGUUUAUUCUAACCUUUAUCCCUAACCUUUAUGGUAUAAAGAGACUGUUCGUAAUAGAUUUUUGUGUAAUAGUUUAGAUCUCAUUAUAAUAACAACACAAUAUAUACACUAUGAUACCACAAGUAAGGUAUUGAUAGAAGAAUGACCUAAAGAGAUGAAGACUAAGAGAAACAAAAUAACAAAUAAAUGCAAUAAAGUAAGAUAAAUAGCUUGACAUACGAGAUUACAAGAAAAAGGAACCAAACCGUGUUCAAAUGAUAAGACCCCUAAGACCUGCAAUAACAACACCAAACUCUUAUGGUGACCGCUAAGGGAAUCAACUCCGCCUUAUAACCACCGUUUCUAAGCAAAGAUCAAUAAUGACUUUUCCAAACCCUACACUACACUCUCAGAGAAGAAAAAAUCUUUCAAUGACUCUCAAAUAUCCAUAAUCACCUAAAGAGCAAAUGAUCUAAUAGAAGACUAUUUAUAGGCUAGCUUAUUACAUAGCAAAAUGACCAAAAUACCCUUAAUGAAAGGGGUGGUCAUGGAGUGUCUUUCCAACAAGUGUAAUCCCCAAAAUACCCUUAAUGAAGGGUGCUUCUUCAAUGCUCCAAAACCAAGGUGUCAUCCUUCAACACUUGUGGACUUGGGUUGGCAUCAAAGGUAAGCCCCCACGCAAUCUUCCACACAUGGAUUUGCUUUAUGUCAUGCUCAAAAUAGGUCCUCCAUGCAUGUUCUUGUGUCCUCGAGGUAACCAAGUCUUGAGUCUUUAUUCAUUGACCUCCAAUGAUGUCUUCAAAAGCAUAGAUGGCCAUUUGGCUUGUAUCAGGUGUGGAGAGAGGAACUUUGUAACUCAUAAAAACAAAAUCCCACCAAAGAGAAAAACGAAAUGUUACCUGAAUCUGAACAAAACUAAAGCUAAAGCAGCAAUUAACCAAGUCUUCCCGUUGAUUUUUUUUGUGAAAUCCAAUAAACAGAAGCUUCAAUAAAAUUCAAAAAGGUUUAAUUCUAGAAAAUCAUAAUUUUUUUUGAAAAAAAUUCUAUACUCAACUAGAAAUGAAUGUUAAUAAUGCAAAAAUGAAAAAGGAAGAUUUCUGUAUAAUCUAGAGAAAAGAAAUGAGCUUUUCUUUAUAUGGUUAAAAAGAAAGAGUUGAAUGAAUAAUUAUCUGGUAUUUUCAGUGGAAUGCUGGUGACAGUAGCCCAGCACCCAACCCUUGUCUCAAACAAAGAAAAUUAAGGUAAUCAAUUGAUCAGUGCAAAUAAAAGUCUUUUGUGUAGUUAGAUCUAAUAAUCACUAAUCACCCUUCCUAGAUAAAUAAAUUACCAAUAAAACUUAAGCCAGUAUAUCACCAUCUAAAGCAUUUUCUCAUGCUUUCUCGAUAAAUCUAAACUGAUAACCUAUUCAAAUAUUCUAAUCCUGGAAAGAUAAAGUUGUCUAGUUAAUUAUUUUUGGGGUUUGAAAGUUAGCACACGAGCCUAAUGCCAUGAUCUUUCAUUACACUUACUUUCAUGGUAACACAACAAGUGUUAUCAUUUGCAGGUUUUAACAGAAAUAAUUAAAGAUAUUUAAUGAACUAAUCUCAAGAGUAGCAACUACACAAUGUCCACUUAUUGGACUAUAAGCCAUACGAACAAUAGGCUAACCAAUAUCAAUCAAAGCACUCUUACUUUCCAUAUAUGGAUCAAAUUUUGACCAAUUAAAAUGCGAUUAGUAUCAUCAUAUAGUUUAUUAACAAAAAACAUAAAGCAUAUGUGAUUCAAUUUGUACCGAUUAUAUGGCUUCCAAUGGCAACAGCGAGAAACAUCUGAGUGGGAUGAAAUGCGAUAAAAAGUCUGCAUAAAAUCGAAAGAAAAUAUAAAGAACAAAAUUUACUCCAAUAACAAAAACAUUAAUAGAUCUUAAUGACAAUAUCGAUCAAUUGGGAAAAGAUGUAGAUGAGACUGAAAAAAUGAUCGAAGAAAUGGCCUCACAAUAUACAAGUAGCAAUGCACAUCCAUCUUAUAAUCAUGCUUUUGAAUGUUAUAACAAUGUUGUUAACAUAGCAAAUAAUUCCUAAGACCCUGUUAUAAGGUACUUCUAUUAUGACUAAAAGACUCGUAGGAAGAGGCAGAAAAAGAAAUAUAGAGGAGUUGUCAUGAGUGAAGAUCAAAGGCUUCUCAAAAUGACAAAACAAAAAUUUAGAAAUAAGGAGGGUGCAGCUAGAACACAUGAGAUGAGAUUGGUAAGCUAGAAAGAUGUUUCUUUUUAUUAAUUUUAUGACUUUUGACUAUCUCAAAAAUUCUAUCAUUUGAUCCUUCAUUUUUUUUUUUGUUUUUGUCUUAUAUCGACAUUUAUAUAUGUUUAUAAGACCCAUGAAGCAUAUUUGAAGUUUAACAUUUGGAGCUUCUCAUGGAGAAUGAUUACUUAAAAAAAAUUAUUAAGGUAAAAUUUAUUAAUCAUUCAUUUCAUCACCGUGUUGCUAUUUUAAUUUGUAUUCAUUUUUUGAAGUACUAAAGAACUUAAACAUUAAUUUUUUUCUUUGUUAACCAAUUUUUGAAAGACCAUAACAGUGUGAAUAUGUCGCCUCCUGAACCAUUGAGGAGGACCAUCUCAAGAGAAAAAAGUAACAGAAUGUUUGUAUCGUGUGAAUUUAGUCGAGAUGUGCUAAAGCGGGCCAGAACCAUUUGUAAGGUUCAUAGUAACUGUAAAACAUGUUGUCAUGAUAGUGCCAACAGAAGUAGCUUUCUCCAUUACUACUAAAGGAGAUAUAUUUCCCAAUAUCCUUCUUAGCUCUUUUAGAUUUAGUAAUGCUAGAGUUACUGUGAUAUCCUAGUUUUUCUUUAUUUACUUGUGUAAGAUCUUUUCAUAUCUGUGAAUUAGAAAGGUCCUAAAAUUAGUUGUCAAUUCUAUUAUGGUAAGGAACUAAACUUCUUCUCAUACGCACACAAACAAAUUUCAUUUUUUAUUUUUUGCAUUAACACAUGCAGCUAAGCUCGUUGACAUAGAAAGUAAUACCCCCCGUUUAAAAAAGAAUGACCUGCUUUCCCUUUUAGUCCAUUUAAAAAAGAAUGACCUCUUUCCAUUUUUGGCAAUACUUUAAUUUCAACUUUCCACAUAGCGACCACAAGACUAAAGAAAAUUUUGGUACAUUUGACACAAUUUUAAUUUAAGGCCACAAGAUUCAAAAAUCUUCUUUAUUUUCUUAAACUUUGUGCCAAGUCAAAGUACGUCGUUCUUUUUGAAAUGGAGGGAGUAAUAUAUAAACAUAUAUAACUAUAAUAAUAUUGGCACAUAAAAAUCUACAACAAUCUGUAGCAAAGAUUCAAGAAAAGAGAAUUAAAAAUAGCUGGUACCUGUAAAGGACAGACUGAAAUAACCAUUGUUGAGUGAACUAUCACACUAAUUUUUUUUUUGGUAGGUUAUACUGCUGGGCCUAAUUCUCAAUACCAGCUAUCCGAAUUUAGUGGAUGAGACAUCCAAUGUACCAACUCCCAUUUGCAGUUAUAUAUGACAACAAGAUGCCCAAACAGUUUAAGAUCAGAACGGUUAUUUUACUUAAUAGUAGUGCAACUUUACUGAGACAAAAGUAACAGAAAUAUUGGCUAGUUUCAAGUAAGUAAAAUAAGAUGUUUACUCUACAUCCAUUACCACAGACUUAUCUCGAUGGACAAUGCCAGCGAAAUGACAACUGUUGGCAAAUAAUUUAACUGAGAGCAGCCAAAAAGUCUGAUGGCUGAUGGAGUAAGAGGAGCCCAAACAAAGAAGCCUGAUCAAUAGAUUAAUACUGAGGUUAUACACAACCCCCCACUACAAUUAGUAUCACAACAAUAACACUUAAGUUCCACUUCAGAUAAAAGAUCUAUGGAAGCAUUCAGCUUUGGAUGAAAAAGUUAAAAUUGAUAGCUAAAGAGGUUAACACUAUUGGAAAUUUAGUCCAACAUAGGUGGAUUAGUCGAGUGUGUGCAAGCUAACCUAGAUACCGCAGUUAUUAUACUGUCAAUUCGCAUAGCCUAAGGUAAGUCAUUAUUUAAUUAAUAUGUACCAAUCAUAAAGGAAAUCAGUCUUCAGGAAAUCUAACCUGCUGUACAAUUAAUGACCCCUCUACACAACUUAAUGGCUCUGUCAAAAUAGUAAGAAAACCAUUUCUAUUAUCAUAAACUAUGUCUGUAAAUGGCCUAUCAACCAUAUGUGUAGGACACAACAUAAACAGUCAACUUAAGAUGGAGAAGUUGACAAAAAAUUUAAAAAAUCAAAAUAUACCAUGAAAUCAAGAUGGAUAAUAACGAUAACAACAAUGAAAAUAGCCAAUAAAAUUGUGCAAUUUGAAGAUAAUUGAAACAAAAUUAAGAAAAAAUUUAAGACAAUCACUAACCUUAAAUUGGAGGGAGAAGACAAAAGCUCUCAAUGAACACUUCAGAGGCUGAAGGGGAAACAAGGUUUCCAGAACUAUCUUGAAGGCAGUAGAUAUUUUAUUGAUAUUUAAUAUUUAUACAUGAAAAAUUUAAGACAAUCACUGACUUUAAAUUGCAAGGAGAAUGCAAAAGCUCUCAAUGAACACUUCAAAUGCAGAAGGGGAAACGUAGGUUUCCAGAAUUAUCUUGAAGGCAGUGGAUAUUUUAUUGAUAUUUAAUAUUUGCUCAUUUGAGCUUAAUAACAAAUUUGUCAUUGGUUGUUCCAAAACUCCCCCUUCUAUAUCUAUAUAAUAUUACUACUAGUUAGACGUGGUAUGUGCUUAACUUUAAAUAUAAAAAUAAUAACAUUUUAACUAAAAAAAUUAAUUUGUAUCAUAUUUUAACUGCAUAAUAAAUAUAAUCUAAUGACACGUUAAUGUGUAUUGUUGCUAAAUUUUCAUUGUUAUUAAUUUUGUCGAAAUCUAUAAUGAUAAAAAAAUAAAAAGUAAUCUAAUUGAUUUUCUGAUCUAUAGUUAUGACAUCAUUAGUUUGACGUAAUUCUUUUUUCUCUAUAAAAUAAUAAGAUGCAAUUUUCACCACAGUGCCUUAAUUACAUAGUACUAGUUUAGUAAGAUCUUUUUGAUUUUGAAAGAAUUCGUUUAUCUUAAACUUUUUUUUUUAAAAACUUAUUAAUAUCAUCAUAAUUAUAUAAAACAUAAUUAUUCAAAUUAAGUACACAAUUUAAACACUUAGCAAGGACAAGAUCAGAUCAUGCCCCUCUCUUUCUUACAAUGAAAAAUCAGUCCCAAUUAAUUAGGAAGCCCUUCAAAUUCCUAAGUUUAUGGACUGAACAUUCAAAUUCUUUACAGAUUGUGGAGCAAUACUGGAAAGCUGUUUGUGUAGGGCAUCUUUUUUUAAUGUUCAAAGAGAAAAAAAUAAAAUUAAGAAAGCCUUGACCAAAUGGAGUAGAUAUACUUAUUAGGACAUCUUCAAGCAAUUCAUAAUUAGGGAGGAGAUUGUGAAACAAUUAUUUGAAGAAGAUCCUACUCCUUAGAAAUGGUGUUGUGGAUGGCUCAAAGCAGAAUUGAAGAAAUAUUUGCAUCUGGAGGAAGAAUACUAAAAAAAAGCUAGAGUAACCUAGCAGGUAGAUGGGGGACAGAAACACUUUUUAUUUUCAUAAUUUGGUUAAUGAUAGAAGAAGAAGAUUUCAAGUUAGAAGGAUCCAGAAUGCUGAUGAGGUUUGGAUUGAAGAAAUGAAGCAAAUUAAAGAGGAAGCCAUUAAGGUGUUUGAGAAACAAUUAACUCAAGAAGAUUAAAUUACCAAUUUUGAAAUCCUUAACAGAAUAUCUCUAAAUAUGACUGGGGAGGAAAAUAUAAUGUUGUGUUCAACAUCCAUAAUUGAGGAGGUCAAAGCAACAGUUUUUUCAUUGGAAGGGGCUAGUUCUGGUGGACCAGAUGGUUUAAAUGGGAAAUUUUAUCAAUAUUUUUGGGAAAUUAUAAAAGAAGAUGUUCUCAGUGUAGUAAAAGCUUACUUUGCAGGUGACUCAUUGACUAAGUCCUUUACUCAUACAAAUGUGGUUCUUAUUCUAAAGAAUAAUGUGGUUCAAACUUUUGCUGAUCUUAGACUUAUUAGUCUAUGUAACUUUAUUAAUAAAGUUAUCUCCAAGGUGGUACAAAGAAGAUGAAUUUUCUACUUUUGUCAAUAAUCUCAUCAAAUCAAUCAAGAUUUGUCAAGGGAAGGUGCAUCAUUAAGAUUGCGCUCUUGACCCAAGAAAUUGUGACUAGCAUUAAAAAGAGAGGAAAAUCAGUAAUCAGUAAAUGUAAUACUAAAGUGAGAUAUGACAGUGGCAUAUGACAGGGUGUCUUGAUUAUAUUUAACUAAAGUAUUAUGGAAAAAUGAGAUUUUUAGAGAUUUUUAUUGACUUAAUCUGGAGGUUGCUUACUAAUAAUUGGUAUUCUAUACUAAUUAAUGACCAAUCUCAUGGAUCCUUUCAUUCCAGUAGAGGUGUUAAGCAAGGAGAUUCUUUAUUCCCCGCUUUAUUCAUUCUUGCUUCAGAAACACUGUCCAGGGCCCUAAAUGCCUUACUUUAUGAUUAAAGACUAGAAGGGCAUGUCGUGUCGGCACGGGCCCAACAUUAAGAUAUUUUGACUAUGUAUGAUAGGUUAGAUUGAUGUCAAUUCGAAUUAUGAAUUAUAAAACAUGAAUAUACAAAAUAUAUUAACUACUUGAUAGGAUUUUUCAAGGAGUCAAAUUAUCUCACAAGAUAAUUAUGUAUAACUUUUUACUCAUAUAAAUAACAAAAUUUGAUGCAUUUUGAAGUNNNNN
This 7306-nucleotide long non-coding RNA is filed under the name Capsicum annuum. Its description in RNAcentral is "long non-coding RNA (CANN_LNC017279)". Lineage: Eukaryota; Viridiplantae; Streptophyta; Magnoliopsida; Solanales; Solanaceae. The record is from RNAcentral.